UCAAGCGAACAAGGGCGCAGGGCGAAUGCCUUGGCACUGGGAGCCGAUGAAAGACGUGAUAAGCUGCGAUAAGCUUCGGGGAGCUGCAAAUAAGCAUUGAUCCGGAGAUUUCUGAAUGAGGAAACUCACCUGGGUUCAUACUCAGGUACGUUAUACUGAACUUAAAAAUAGGUAUAUCGAGGGAACCGCCUGAACUGAAACAUCUAAGUAGGGCGAGGAAGAGACAUCAAACGAGAUUCCGUAAGUAGUGGCGAGCGAACGCGGAAGAGGGCAAACCGGGAGUAGAAAUACUUCCGGGGUACGGACUGCUUUUAGGACUUAAUCUGUUAACCGAACGGCAUGGGAAGGCCGGUCAGAGAGUGUGAGAACCACGUAGGUGAAAACGGAGAGAGCUGCGCAGGAUCCAGAGUACGGCCAGACACGUGAAACCUGGUCGGAAUACGGGGGGACCACCCUCCAACCCUAAAUACUACCCAGUGACCGAUAGCGUAUAGUACUGUGAAGGAAAGGUGAAAAGCACCCCGGGAGGGGAGUGAAAAAGAACCUGAAACCCUGUGCCUACAAGCACCUAGAGCACGUCAAUGUGUGAUAGGGUACUUUUUGUAGAACGGUCCGGCGAGCGAUUGUAUGCAGCAAGGUUAAGGACUUAAGGUCUGGAGCCGAAGCGAAAGCGAGUUUGAAAAGGGCGUUAAGUUGCAUAUAAUGGGCCCGAAACCGGGUGACCUACCCAUGGUCAGGUUGAAGUGGAAGUAAAAUUCCAUGGAGGACCGAACCGACCUCCGUUGAAAAGGCGGCGGAUGAACUGUGGGUAGCGGAGAAAUUCCAAUCGAACCCGGAGAUAGCUGGUUCUCCCCGAAAUAGUUUUAGGACUAGCCUCAAGUUAGAUACCUGGAGGUAAAGCACUGAAUAGCCUAGCGGCCGAGAGGUUAGCGAAGCUUAUCAAACUCAGAAUGCCAGAGUAUUGAUGCUUGGGAGUCAGACAGUGUCAGAUAAAUGUCAUUGUCAAAAGGGAAACAGCCCAGAUCUACAGCUAAGGUCCCAAAGUCAGGUUAAGUGGAAAACGAUGUGAAGAUACGCAGACAACCAGGAUGUUGGCUCAGAAGCAGCCACUCAUUCAAAGAGUGCGUAAUAGCUCACUGGUCGAGCGUCUUUGCGCGGAGAAUUUAACGGGGCUAAACCUGACACCGAAGCUUAGGCAAUACAGCAAUGUAUUGGGUAGGGGAGCGUUGUAUACGCGGUGAAACAGUAGCGCAAGCGGCUGUGGAGUGUAUAGAAGUGAGAAUGCCGGAAUGAGUAGCGCGAAUGCAGUGAGAAUCUGCAUGGCCGAAAGCCUCAGGUUUCUGGAGGAAGGUUCGUCCGCUCCAGGUUAGUCGGGAGCUAAGGUGAGGCCUAACGGCGUAGCCGAUGCACAGACGGUAGAGAUUCCGUCACCACCAAAAGAGUUAAGCACAGGGACACAUUUGAAGUCUCGGAGCCGGGUGUUGGUUCCGGUAGCGAUCGAGGGAAAUUAGUACCGAAGUCCGGGAUGGAAGAUGGCGAGAAAAGCUGUGUGUAUUUCUGCGGUGCCCGUACCGCAAACCGACACAGGUAGGUAGGAAGAAGAUUCUAAGGCCAACGGGAGAAGGGUUGUUAAGGAACUCGGCAAAUUGACCCCGUAACUUCGGGAGAAGGGGUGCUCCAGAGAUGGAGCCGCAGAGAAUCGGCCCAAGCAACUGUUUACCAAAAACACAGGUUUGUGCUAAAUCGAAAGAUGACGUAUACGAGCUGACGCCUGCCCGGUGCUGGAAGGUUAAGAGGAGAUGUGCAAGCAUUGAAUCGAAGCCCCAGUGAACGGCGGCCGUAACUAUAACGGUCCUAAGGUAGCGAAAUUCCUUGUCAGGUAAGUUCUGACCCGCAUGAAAGGCGUAAUGAUUUGGGCACUGUCUC
RNAcentral lists this ribosomal RNA (1926 nucleotides) under gut metagenome. RNAcentral describes it as "bacterial LSU rRNA". It matches the Rfam family "Bacterial large subunit ribosomal RNA", at positions 3 to 2022 of the family's 2925-position model. The record is from RNAcentral.